UUCAUUUCAUCACAACAUAAAAGUUGGCACAUAACAGGUUUAAGGAGAUGCAACAUAAUGAAGCAUAUUAGUAUUACACAAGCAUAAUGAGGAAAGAAGUUAUUCCUCAAUAAUAAUAUUCCUAAAAUAAACAAUUCAGGUUGGCAAACAAAAUAAAUUCUCCACACUUGGUAUGCAGAUCAAGUUUGUUUCCCCCGUUAUUUGUCAACAAGAAUUCCAGUAGCAAAAUAAAGCUUAAACCUUGAACUUUGAUAUACAUUUACUCUGGCUGAGCUAAGACGUCACUAUUGCAUCAGAUUUGGAAUGUAACUGCAGCAAUUUAGUUAAAAGUCUAUUUAGCAUUUGUGCUACUAGCGCCAUCUAGUGUUUGUUGGCGUGAAGUUCCUUCCCUUUUAAUUUUUGUUGUAUAUGGAAAAUUGUAUAAUUCUUGCGAAACAAAGGAAAAUGUGAUCAAACCGUGAUGAAAACAUGUCUAUCUCGUUGUCGCGCAUGACUUUAAUUAGUUUAAGCUUAAUGCGUUACACUUUGCUGGAACUAAUUCCGCAAUUAGCUUAGAUUCGCUUGCUACGCAUUCAACUGCUUUUUACGUAGUUCUCUGUCAUGCAAAUUUGAUAAAUUAAAAACUGUUGCCAAUUGUUGUAAAUGUACAUAGAUAAAUGAUGUAAAAUGAAUUUGGAAUGCUCGCUGUUUAAUGAGCCAAUAUGAUAAAUGAACUAAUGAAUCAGUGUGCCACACAUAGACACACACACAAUAUCACACUUAGAGGGUGCUUGAAAAAAUGUGCCAAGAAAAUGUUUU
Long non-coding RNA from Drosophila nasuta, 798 nucleotides. RefSeq lists it as uncharacterized. The transcript has 3 exons. The record is from RefSeq and is a predicted model, not a curated record. NCBI's taxonomy places the organism in Eukaryota, Metazoa, Arthropoda, Insecta, Diptera, Drosophilidae.